This is a long non-coding RNA of Sardina pilchardus (European sardine), 375 nucleotides long. RefSeq lists it as uncharacterized. The record is from RefSeq and is a predicted model, not a curated record. The transcript has 3 exons. Lineage: Eukaryota; Metazoa; Chordata; Actinopteri; Clupeiformes; Clupeidae.
GAGAAGUGCAAAGCUGCAGUCAUAUUCUACAGUGAAGGGAGAGUUUUCUGCAGUGGUACACAUGCAAAGUGGGUCAGGAUCAAAGUGCAUGAGCUGCAGAAGAAAGGUACACCAUGUUUGGACUCGAGGAAUAAUGUCACUACUGUGAACAUGUAAAGGAGGUUUUUGUUUGCCUCUUUGUGUGUUUGCUUGUAAUCUCAAGUAUCACAGUGACAGAUUGACGCUGGUUUAGCGUCCAGAUUAUUAGCCGUAGAGAUUACUUGCACCUUCAGGGUCUGCACCUGCACUGAGUUUACGGAGGCUGCUUUGACUUUCAGGAUUUAUUUGAAUUCAUUUUUACAUUUUUACUAUUUUUACUAUUUAUGUGGUCUUAUA